GAUCGAAUGUCACAUCUUUACUACAUAACAGGAGUUCUACACAAAAUAAAUAAAUAAUUACAUUAUAAGGAGACAACGGUCCAGCAACCCAAAGUUGACUGGGAGACGACGACCUAGACCUCUCACGAACACAUCACAGCAUCCUCCAAGCGCCUCAUCCAGCGGUACCUGUUCUUGACCUGUGGGGGGUGUGAGACAGCAAGAGUGAGCUCACAUACGUUCAUCGCUCAACAAGUUGUGGGGAAUAAUGUGCAUGAACUCGCCAAAGGUGGGAGCUCACGUGAAGUGUAAGGCUUACCAAAGAGGAUGGUUAGAGCUAAGCAUUGCUUUUAAAGUUGGUCAAAAUUUUAUUAGCAAUUACUAAGUAUAAGUAAAUACCAACCCAAUUAAGUAGUAGAACAAAAGUAACAACAUCACCUGCGAUGCAAUGCAUAUGACAAAUUGAAUUUAAGUUUCAUAAUUUAAUCAUCAGAGAGUCCUGAGCUGCUCAUGACCGUGAGCUCGGCUAGUAUACCAGUUUUACACUCUGCAGAGGUUGUACCCUUUACCCACAAGUCGUGUUACCCAUCUGCCAAGGGAUCGCGACUCCCCAUACACCUCUACCGAGGAGGCGAGGCAGGGUAACACUACGAGGCCUUUACAAAGUUCCACUAGCUUCAGAAAACCCGCUACAGUUUAUAGGAAGCUCCAAUGCAGGGUUCUUGCCUGACCGCCAUCGCAGCAAAAUCAAGCAAGGACCUCCCUACACUGACCACUCCCCUACUGCCCUUGCCCCUUUCGGGUAAGGUAGUCCUCCACUAGCUUUCCUAAUUAAUCAGCCAAGGGCGUCCAUAAACCCUUAUGGUGGCACAUGUUUCUCAAGUUAAGCUCUAUGUUCCAAUUAACAUUAAUGAUCUUGACAUGAACGGUAAAUAACAACGGAUAACAAAAGUAUAAUCAUGAAUAAUGUGUAUCUCAAUGCCCAAAACCACAUAUAGCACUAGCAAGUACUACCCAAAAAGUUCAGUGGUAAACAAGGUAUAAAUAUAAUCAAACUAGGGUAACCUAUUGGGUCCCAUCAAAAUUAACCUAUGCAGAUCAUUAUAAUUAAUUAGAACAUGAGUGGGUAAAAAGAAGUGAUCAAGGGCACAACUUGCCUGGGACUUGAGAUUCCCGGUACCAG
Molecule: long non-coding RNA, 1162 nt
Filed under: Zea mays
Lineage: Eukaryota; Viridiplantae; Streptophyta; Magnoliopsida; Poales; Poaceae
Description: long non-coding RNA (ZMAY_LNC002700)
Source: RNAcentral